UACGUAGGGUGCUAGCGUUAUCCGGAUUUAUUGGGCGUAAAGGGCUUGUAGGUGGUUUGUCGCGUCUGUCGUGAAAUCCUGUGGCUUAACCAUGGGCUUGCGGUGGGUACGGGCAGGCUUGAGUGCGGUAGGGGAGACUGGAAUUCCUGGUGUAGCGGUGGAAUGCGCAGAUAUCAGGAGGAACACCGGUGGCGAAGGCGGGUCUCUGGGGUAUAACUGACGCUGAUGCACGAAGGUGUGGGUAUCAAACAGG
This 253-nucleotide ribosomal RNA is filed under the name uncultured bacterium. Its description in RNAcentral is "partial 16S ribosomal RNA". It matches the Rfam family "Bacterial small subunit ribosomal RNA", at positions 524 to 776 of the family's 1533-position model. The record is from RNAcentral.